ACAGAGGUGCCAAGCGUUAGGCGGAAUUACUGGGCUUAAAGCGCGUGUAGGUGGCGGCCUAAGUACCUUGUGAAAUCCUGCGGCUCAACCGCAGAACUGCUUGGUAUACUGGGUCGCUUGAGCCAUCCAGGGGCAACUGGAACAAGCGGUGGAGCGGUGAAAUGCGUAGAUAUCGCUUGGAACGCCAAAGGUGAAAACAGGUUGCCGGGGAUGCGCUGACACUGAGACGCGAAAGCCAGGGGAGCGAACGGGA
This 253-nucleotide ribosomal RNA is filed under the name uncultured prokaryote. Its description in RNAcentral is "partial 16S ribosomal RNA". It matches the Rfam family "Bacterial small subunit ribosomal RNA", at positions 525 to 777 of the family's 1533-position model. The record is from RNAcentral.